AAAAUUCUAAGUGUUGAGCUUCUUGUGACUUGUUUCGAAGGCCUUAACGAUGAGAAAACUUUACAGGGUCUUACAAUAGCCUAUAUUAAAGUUGUUGAUGUUGAAAAGCUCAUAGUUAGACUUUGGGAUGGGCCAACUUAUUUGCCUACGGUGUGCACCGAUCAUCUUGUCCCUUCUAUUUGUGAUACGCUCCAACCUUAAUUGGCCAGGUUGUGCCUCCAGUUCUAUUACUUUGAAAAAAUUAGAGUGCUCAAAGCAAGCCUGCGCUCUGUAGACAUUAGCAUGGAAUAACAUAAUAGGAUUUCGGUCCUAUUAUGUUGUCCUUCGGGAUAAGAGUAAGAUUAACAUAAACAAUUCGGGGAAUUGAUAUUUCAUAGAGGUGAAAUUAUUGGAUUUAUGAAAUAUGAAAAAAUUCAAAAGCCUUUGCCAAGUAUGUAUUCAUUAAUCAAGAAUGAAAGUUUGGAACUCAAUGAUGAUCAAAUACCACCCUAGUCUCAACCAUAAACAAUGACGACCAGGGAUUGGCGAAUGUUGCUUUUAGGACUCUGUCGGUACCUUAUGAGAAAUCAAAGUUUUUGGGUUCCGAGGGAAGUAUGAUCGCAAUGAUGAAACUUAAAAGAAUUGACGGAAGGGCACCACCAGGAGUGGAUCCUGCAGAUUAAUUUGACUCAGCAUUGGGAAACUUACAAGGUCCAUACAUAGUAAGGAUUAACAGAAUAAGAGCUCUUUCUUAAUUCUAUGGGUAGUGGUGCAUGGCUGCUCUUCGUUGGUGAAGAAAUUUGUUCGACCUUUUAAUUAUCUAUGAGGAGUUAUCCCUUUACGAUGAGCUUCUUAUAUGGACUAUGACCUUUUAGGCACGAAAGUUUGAGGCAAUAAUAGGUGUGUGAUGCCCUUAGAUGUUUCGUACUACACGCGCUACGUUGAUGUAUUCAACGAGUUUAUAGCCUUGGACGACGGGCCCAGGUAAUCUUUGAAAUUUCAUUAUGAUGGGGAUAGAUCAUUGAAAUUAUUGGUCUUGAAUGAGGAAUUCCUAGUAAGCACAAAUCAGCAGCUUACAUUGACUACAUCCCUACCCUUUGUACACACUGUUGGUAAAAUAUUUGAAUCAUGGUAACAUGGACAAUUCACUACCCGCAACGUUGCGAGAAGUUGAUUGAACCUUAUCAUUUAGAGAAAGAAGAAGUAGUAAAAAGGUUUAUGUAGGUGAACUUUCAGAAGGAUCAUUG
Molecule: ribosomal RNA, 1226 nt
Filed under: Capsicum annuum
Lineage: Eukaryota; Viridiplantae; Streptophyta; Magnoliopsida; Solanales; Solanaceae
Description: Eukaryotic small subunit ribosomal RNA
Rfam family: Eukaryotic small subunit ribosomal RNA
Source: Rfam by way of RNAcentral